RNAcentral lists this ribosomal RNA (254 nucleotides) under uncultured bacterium. RNAcentral describes it as "partial 16S ribosomal RNA". It matches the Rfam family "Bacterial small subunit ribosomal RNA", at positions 524 to 776 of the family's 1533-position model. The record is from RNAcentral.
UACGGGGGGAGCAAGCGUUGUUCGGAUUUACUGGGCGUAAAGGGCGCGUAGGCGGCCACCGCAAGUCGACUGUGAAAUCUCCGGGCUUAACCCGGAAAGGUCAGCCGAUACUGCGGGGCUAGAGUGCAGAAGGGGCAACUGGAAUUCUUGGUGUAGCGGUGAAAUGCGUAGAUAUCAAGAGGAACACCUGCGGCGAAGGCGGGUUGCUGGGCCGACACUGACGCUGAAGCGCGAAAGCCAGGGGAGCGAACGGG